GUGUAGUUGCGCCGCGAUUUUUUCCGGUGAUCGCGGCUCAGUCGGACUUGCUGACACUCGUAUUUUUUAAGUCUCCUCUUUAAUCCUUUUGAUUAACAAUAAACGGAAUUACGGCUUUUUAUCAACAACUACUAUUUCGUUAUAUAUUUUGGAACGGAAAAGAACAUUUUUUUCUACAUAAAAAGGAGUAACGUAGAAGAAAACAAUGACGAGGAAAGCCUCUAGAUGUGUACUUCUUUCCAGGCAUAGGAUGUUCCGGCCCCUAAUUAUGGAAGUAUAAAAAUCAGUAUUCAUUAAAAUACAAACACUUUAAAGUUUUUCUGCUACAGGCGGAUAUUGGAUCAAUUCCAGGAACAGGUUUUAAAAGAGAUUGCGGUGUAUGAGGAGGUCGACUGUGAAACCAUGGUCUACCAUUGACAAGGGCAACUAGUAAAUUUUUUUAAAAACUUACUUUAAAAACACAUUUUUACUGAUCUAUGAAUAAACAAAAAAUUUCUGAAAUUCUUUUUCUUUCUUUAAUUUAUAUUACUUCAUUAUAAAUAUUAUAAAAUCUUGAAAUCAAUUUCUCCAAUUUGCUAUCAGGUACCAGUACCGGUAUGGGAACCAAAUUUAUUUUUUUUUUAAAUCAGUUAGUAGAUAAUUAAGUUUCAGAUAUUUUAAAAUUGAAUAGUCAUUAAAAACAAGCACAAACACAAAAGCUCAAAACUUUAACAAAUAAGAAAGCGAUUGAAAAAUCAUUU
This is a long non-coding RNA of Argiope bruennichi, 740 nucleotides long. RefSeq lists it as uncharacterized. NCBI's taxonomy places the organism in Eukaryota, Metazoa, Arthropoda, Arachnida, Araneae, Araneidae. The record is from RefSeq and is a predicted model, not a curated record. The transcript has 4 exons.